UAGCCGACUUCAUCGAGAGUGUCCUUCUG
Molecule: non-coding RNA, 29 nt
Filed under: Mus musculus (house mouse)
Lineage: Eukaryota; Metazoa; Chordata; Mammalia; Rodentia; Muridae
Source: RNAcentral